This is a long non-coding RNA of Oncorhynchus tshawytscha (Chinook salmon), 2601 nucleotides long. The record is from Ensembl. Lineage: Eukaryota; Metazoa; Chordata; Actinopteri; Salmoniformes; Salmonidae.
CGCAGGCAGCGGUCAGGGGAGGUGAAGCCCUGUCAUUUACCAACUACACUGGCCUCGCUGCUCUUCCAAUCAUAUCAUAGGUUACAACAUAUACAGGCGUUAUAUUCAUUUCUACCGAAGGUUUAUCAUAGUACACUAAAUGCUCACGUAAAAUUGGAUUGCGUCGGAGAGAAAACGAUUGUGGGGAAAAAGCACGGUAACUUUGGAAAGGACUGAAGGGAAGGAUGGACAACUCAAAAGCGCAAAUGAUGGUUAUUUCUGUCGGCACGACGCACAAAGAAUCCUGGACCGACUCGGACAGCAUAUCCCGAGAGAGCCAUGUUUCUCUGAAACAGACUAUGUUACAAUCCCUGAUGUCUCUCUGGAAAGCAACCCUUGCCCUAAUUUUGUCUACCUUGUUAUCUAGAGACUGGACAUUAGUGAGUAAUGUACUCGAAAGCAGUGGGUGGUGUGCGUGCCUCCAAAGUCUGAUCAGAAUGCCUCUCCGUCUUCCUCUUCUGCGGCGACAUUGUUUUGUGUCGACCUCUGGAAUCAGUUCAAAUGCCCUGGGUGGUUCGGACAAAGGAUCCGCUUUGGGAAUGUUGUUGUGCUGAGCCUGACCUCCCAGGACAUGUCGAGCCGUAGAGGACUGAGCCUCAGCCCACAGGUCCAGGUCCAGCUGUUUAUCCUGCUCCAGUAUCAGACCCUGGUCCACCACUGCAAGGCCAUGGUCCCCAGAGCAGUUAACCAGGCCAACCUUAAAAACACACCAGGAGCACCUGGUAACCCAACCUCAUACACACUAGGAGCACCAGACUAUGUUUCAAACCCCUCCGUCCCUGACUCCAAUGCUGGCACACCGUCCAACCAGAACCUCUGUACGACAAGAAGAACCAAUCAGACUCCAGAACAUUGGGAUACUAACCCAAUGAGAGGACAGAUCCAGCUAAUUAUACUCCAGAAUUCUGAGACCCCAACCAACCAGAACCUCUGUAGGACAUCAUCAGCCAAUCUCUGAUGUACUCUGGACAAUGGAAUAUCCAACCUGAGACUGCACAAUUCAGCUUUGGCCCUGAUGGACUCAAAGCAAGCUGAGGACAGCCAUACCAUAACAAAAUCCAUUGGCUAGAAAGCCAUGAUGAUGACUUCACAUCAAUGUCUGGGGUUGAUCAUAGACUGCUGAUAUAGCUGGACGGAGUGAUACUGUACUGUCACAACGUGGCCCUUUUGGGUGUAUAUCGUGGCUACCCCCCUCUCUCACUCUCUCUCCCACCAUAAGUUUUACAACGGUCAUAAAUUCUUGGGAGAAACUCUCUUCGCUGCCAUGGAGUAUUGAGGGAUAGAGCCUAUGGAGAACAAAUACAUUCUUGUUGCCAAAACUCCUAAUCCCCAAAAUUUGAGAAUUAAACAAUAUUUAUAGUUUUGAGAAUGUGGGAAUGGUCCAUGGACACUUAAGGGACAGUCAUGUCGAGUUUGUUUCAUUUGGUGAUCUCAUGAGGGACAGGAAACACACGUUACUGUGUCUUUGGUUGCGUAAACUUCUCAAUUAUGGGGUUUGCAUCUGAUGGUUGUAUAAAAUAUAUGAGUGAAUAUGAAACAAUUUGUGAGAAGAUGUAAUGUGAUGUUGGCCUUCUAAAUGAGAUACUUGUUUAGAUAUAAAGUUUUAACUGGUCAGUGGCCACACCCCUUGAGCUCAGCCAUCACAUCAUGCGUCAUGGCCCCUUCAUGGGUAUAAAAUCACUCAUGACAAAAUGUACAUUUUAUGCCAAAGAGACCCAAAGUAAGCCGGACGUCUCAAAUGGUUAAGAAAUCUACAAACUAGAGUAAAAAAUGCAGGAACGGGAGUUCCCACUUUGAAAUGGCUAUUACUACUCCAAACCAAAACAUGACAGAUGACGCUGGUGUGUAGAGGAGUUUGAACCAGAGACCGGAAAACAUGGAAGCUGUCGCUACAUGUUGAAAUGGUUGGCAACUCUACCAAAGGACAAGACCAGAGAACGUGGAGAUCAUUCCCACGUUGAAAUGGCUAAGAAAUCUACAAACUAAAGAACAAUUAUUCAGGCUGCAACUGUUUAAAUACUUUAGUCUGAUAAACACAUCCGAUCUAAGAACAUUUCCGAAACAACCUAAAACUCCGACAGAAUUUGAUCAAACUGAACAAACUGACUAUCCAGCAGAUGGCCUGGCAAUCGCAGACAACCAAGACAUACACUUGUAAAUAUGUAAAUUGCAAUUUAUUUUUGAAUGAGCGGUUGUUCAUGUUCAAAGUAUUAGCAAUUUCUAGGAGUGUAGUUAUCAGCUCUGAGUCUCCCGCUCUUGAGCUGUCCCCACCCCUUUCCUUUGUCUACCAAGCCAUCAUUGGCUUAGCCCACUAGGGGCUUUUCUACCAUGUCAGUAACCAAUGUAUGACCUAUUGUGUUUGUGUUUAUGUAAUUCUGUGAUUGAUUACAUUAGUUAGUAAAUCAAUAAUUAAGCCAAUUUGUAUAUCGCUGAUUCAUGAUCUAUCUUAGGGUUCGUGCAGAUAUCCAAGGGUUUGCUACGUUCAGUAAUGAGACUGAUGAGGUAAUAAUACAUGAAUAAGUGACUGUAAUCAAUAAGAUAUGACAAUAUUGGAAGAGUUCA